This 490-nucleotide ribosomal RNA is filed under the name uncultured bacterium. RNAcentral's name for it is "partial 16S ribosomal RNA". It matches the Rfam family "Bacterial small subunit ribosomal RNA", at positions 29 to 507 of the family's 1533-position model. The record is from RNAcentral.
AGUGAACGCUGGCGGUAGGCCUAACACAUGCAAGUCGAACGGCAGCGCAGGAGAGCUUGCUCUCUGAGUGGCGAGUGGCGGACGGGUGAGGAAUACACCGGAAUCUGCCCAGUCGCGGGGGAUAACGUAGGAAAACUUACGCUAAUACAGCAUACGACCUCCGGGUGAAUGCGGGGGAUCGCAAGACCCCUCUCGAUUGGAUGAGCCGAGGUCCGAUUUGCUAGUUGGCGGGGCACUGGCCCACCAAGGCGACGAUCCGUAGCUCGUCUCAGAGCAUGAUCAGCCAGCAUGGAAGUGAGACACGGUCCAGACCCCUACGGGAGGCAGAAGUGGCGAAUCUUGGACCAUGGGCGCAAGCCUGAUACAGCCAGACCGCGUGAGUCAAGAAGGCCUUCGAGUCUUACAGCCCGUUUGUUGGGAAAGACAUCUUUCCGGCUAAUACCCAGCGCGCAUGACGGUACCCAAACUAUAAGCACCGGCUAACUCCGUG